AUGAUGAGGGUGAGAGAGUAAAAAUGUCAUUUUUGAAAAAAAAAAAAAAAUUUGAUGGCAUUUUCGUAAAUUAUAUGAACUUGUGGGGUGAAUAGGGCAAAACCAAUUUUCAAAAAAAAAGGAGGUUACUUUUGUGUUUGACUUUAAGUUGUAGGUCAAUUUUGCAAAAAUCUCAUCUUUCUAUUUAGAGUAGGACACACUUUUUCCUAUUUUCAUGAUUUUUGUCAUCCGGUUCAUAUUUCCCCCCUCCACUCCAAAAUAAUGCAUGAGUCGGAUGACGAAAAUCAUGAAAAUUUGAAAAAGUGUGUCCUACUCUAAAUAGAAAGAUUGACUUUAUGAAUGAAUUAUCCUCGAUAUUACUCAAGACUUAAUAUAAUUUAGAAACUUUAAAUUAUUUUAUAUUUGACAAAGACGAUAUAAACAAAUCUUUUUAUAUCACUAUUGCCAAAU
This 450-nucleotide long non-coding RNA is filed under the name Brassica napus (rape). RNAcentral's name for it is "long non-coding RNA (BNAP_LNC004213)". The record is from RNAcentral. Lineage: Eukaryota; Viridiplantae; Streptophyta; Magnoliopsida; Brassicales; Brassicaceae.